RNAcentral lists this ribosomal RNA (476 nucleotides) under uncultured bacterium. Its description in RNAcentral is "bacterial SSU rRNA". It matches the Rfam family "Bacterial small subunit ribosomal RNA", at positions 29 to 507 of the family's 1533-position model. The record is from RNAcentral.
AUUGAACGCUGGCGGCAUGCCUUACACAUGCAAGUCGAACGGUAACGCGGGGCAACCUGGCGACGAGUGGCGAACGGGUGAGUAAUGUAUCGGAACGUGCCCAGUUGUGGGGGAUAACUGCUCGAAAGAGCAGCUAAUACCGCAUACGACCUGAGGGUGAAAGCGGGGGAUCGCAAGACCUCGCGCAAUUGGAGCGGCCGAUAUCAGAUUAGGUAGUUGGUGGGGUAAAGGCUCACCAAGCCAACGAUCUGUAGCUGGUCUGAGAGGACGACCAGCCACACUGGGACUGAGACACGGCCCAGACUCCUACGGGAGGCAGCAGUGGGGAAUUUUGGACAAUGGACGCAAGUCUGAUCCAGCCAUGCCGCGUGCGGGAAGAAGGCCUUCGGGUUGUAAACUGCUUUUCCCCGGGGCGAAUAACCCCCUCGCGAGGGGGGAUGCCGGUACCGGGGGAAUAAGGAUCGGCUAACUCCGUG